RNAcentral lists this non-coding RNA (58 nucleotides) under marine eukaryotic metagenome. The record is from RNAcentral.
UAAAAGAGGAAUAAUUUGUCUGAUUGCGACCUCGUUAAAAAAGUGCUAAAGCAGUAAU